Molecule: RNA transcript, 2581 nt
Organism: Scylla paramamosain (green mud crab)
Lineage: Eukaryota; Metazoa; Arthropoda; Malacostraca; Decapoda; Portunidae
Gene: mRpS2
Gene name: small ribosomal subunit protein uS2m-like
Exons: 4
Source: RefSeq, a predicted model, not a curated record
CAUAUUAUUCUUACCUAAGCCACCAAGGUAGAAUGUGAUGUUGAGUUCUCCCUCAGCAAUGCCCUCUCCUAAGCCAUCAAGACAGAAGGUGGUGUUGGAUAUUUCCCAUACCUAAUCUAGCAAGACACAAAGUGGCAGUGUUAGAUAUUAUUCUCAUACAAGCCACCAAGCCUCUGUGAAUUAAAUCCAGAAUGAAAGCUGGGGCUUUAGCAGAUAUUUUAUUUGUAAUCAUCUUGUCUUUCACUGUCCAUGCAUCAGGUCUCAGGGUGCAUGUGGAGUAUGUGGACAAUCACUUCACCUUGAGGACUCAGCACAUUGUGAGAGAAGCUGUGUUCCAUGUGUCCAGAUUACUUAGUAUUCAAAAUAAGUCAAGGAAUCCAGUAUUUCAUGUCCCAAGGGAAAAGAAUGCCUGUGUUUCUGUUUACUUUGAUGGGCCAAAUAAAGGCAAAUGUGGCCAGAUAUCAAAAAAUUACUUUGGUAUUGAGCAGUGUGGUGAGGCCAAGAUACCAACAGCCCAUCUUGAGGGACUGCAGGUUUUUGGACCUGAAGAAGUGGAGCCCCUCCCCAUAUCACUGCCUCAGGGACAUGGAUUUACAGAUGGUACAAAUUUUGUUGUGUACUUCACCUCCAAGGAAAGCAAGUUGUGUGCCUCCUCCCUUGCCCACUCCCAUGUGUGUCGCAUAGAAGCAUCAAGGGUUGGCGGGGUGCACAGUGGACGGCCAGUUGCUGGAACAAUCAAUGCAUGCUGGAAGGAAGGGGAAACUGAGGACAUUAUGAUAAAGAGAGUUGUCAUUCAUGAACUGAUACAUCUCCUUGGUAUGAACUACAGAAGUAUAAGGGAAUUUAUUGAGUGUGAGGGCAAGGGCAAUACCAGGAUGUGCUGGAAGCUGAAGGAGAGAGUGUUAUGGGUCACCCAGGAUGGAGAGGUUGUAGUGUGGUCAAGGCACUUCAGGAAGGCCAUAAGACAUCAGAAGGAUUGUUUAGAUGGAAGUCAGUGUCAGCCUUCUAGUAACUCUCAAAGUUGUCCUUUUCAGCUCUGUGGCCUAUACAGUGGCAUGGUUCUAGAAAACUUGACAAGAAGUGUGAACAUGUUUGGUGGGGUUAUCCUGGCAAAAUCUCGCACAGGUGUCCACUGGCCUGAAGAACUGUUUGACAGUCCAAUGUCAGUCAUGAUUCCAACAUAUGUGGCAGCUGGGCAUGUGAUUGUUGACCCUCUUACCCUAGCACUCCUUAGAACCUCAGGAUGGUACCAGAUCAACCACACUGCACUGCUCUGCAUGAAUCAUUUCCUCAGUUCUGAUUCACCUAAACUCAACUUGAAGAACUUGAUAGAAAAUAAGAGAGAUUUUAUUUCCCAAAAUGGGACUUUUACAGGAGAGCAAACCACUGCUCAGAACUCACCUUCACAGAGUAAUCCAGUAAAUGUCUCUAAAAAUCAUGAUCCAGUCAGUACCUCAGAGGAUGUAGUCAGGAAUGAGAUCCAAAAUUCCACCACUGGACUCAAUACAUUCAUCUGGGCAAAAAGACCCAGUACUGAUAGAGUGUCUGAGAAUGUGAGGUCUGUUGCAUCAGUGUGUUUUCCUUUGUGCACUGCAGUCAUCAUAUUCCAGAUAGUGCUUCUUUACUCUACAUUGCAGGGUGGUGGCUGGGCCAGGCAGGACGUAGAGCCUUCGCUUCCUCCUCCACCCCAACACUAACUACUGCACAGCCUGCUGAAGCUAGUCAGGCUCCUCAAGAAGCACCUGAGACUGAUUAUGUCUCAGAACAGCUGAAGAAAGCCCUCAAGCAUCCGGAUUAUUUUAAAGUUGCGGAGUUGUUCACUGUGGAAGACUUAUUUAAUGCUCGUGUUCAUCUGGGACACACUGAGGGUUCUCUUGAUGAGCAUAUGAGCCAGUUUGUGUUUGGCUCCAGGCUGGGUCACUUGAUCAUUGACCUUGACCAGACAGCAGUCCUGCUUCGAGAUGCUCUCAACUUUAUUGCACACAUUGCCUUCCGUGGAGGCAUUAUUCUCUUCAUUGGCCGCACUCCCCAGCACCAGCUACUGAUUGAGGACACAGCAAAGGAGUGCGGUGAAUAUGCUCACACCCGCUUCUGGCAGGGUGGUGUGCUCACUAACUCUACUGUCCAGUUUGGAUGUGUGACACGACUGCCGGACCUCAUCAUUGCUCUGCAUACCAUGAAUAACGUCAUUAGCCAACACACUGCCAUAAGAGAUGCAGCAAAGAUGUUAAUCCCUACUGUGGCUGUUGUGGAUACGAACUGUAACCCUAACUUGGUGACAUAUCCCAUCCCUGGCAAUGAUGACAGUGCUGCCUCAGUCCACCUGUAUUGUAAAUUGUUCAAGGCUGCAAUACUUAGAGGAAAAGAAAAGCGUAAGGAAUUACUAAAAUUGUAGCAGUUCUAUUAAAUAUUAAAUUUGUAAAGAUUGGAGAAUUAAAAGGUUAGAUAUACUACUGACAAACAUUGUGCAGUCAAUAUCCUUUACUUCCAGGGUUCUGUCUCAUUGUAUAAUAGUUUGUAUUUGUAAUUUGUAUUGAGAGCACAUCUGUUCAAGUCCUGUAAAUAAAUUUUUUGUUUUGUU